UACUUCCUAUUUAACUCUCAGUAAACAGAUUAUCUUAAACAUUUUUUCGUGUUUAUUCUGUUUGUGUUUAUUUUCCUAAAUAAUUAUGUUGUAUUGACUUCUCCACAUUUCAUGCCAUAGAGAUUCCGUGAGUUCCAAGCACCUCCAAAACAUAACUUGGGAGUUCUGCUAUUGGAGUUAAUUCGAUUUAUAUUUAGUGGAUGAUAAUGGCUCAUUGCUGGAUAUGUAUUCACGAAGUGAUAUCCCUGCUUUGGCAAAAGAUAAAGCAUAUGCACAGAUUCGCCUUGGUGAAAUGCGUAUUCACCAGGUAAUUCCUCAAUCUUAUGUAUUUAUCUGACUCCAUCAGGCAUGCUAACUGUAUGGUAGAUAGCAAUCUCUUUAAAUACUUAUAGUUGAGCACUUGUUUUCUCACAGAAAGUGGCAAUGGUUAUUAAUCUAGAUGCUUUGUAAUCUUGGUUUCAAUUUAUUGCUUACAAAAUUGUCUUAGGUAGUUGGAGU
Molecule: long non-coding RNA, 498 nt
Organism: Juglans microcarpa x Juglans regia
Lineage: Eukaryota; Viridiplantae; Streptophyta; Magnoliopsida; Fagales; Juglandaceae
Exons: 3
Source: RefSeq, a predicted model, not a curated record